Long non-coding RNA from Manis javanica (Malayan pangolin), 528 nucleotides. RefSeq lists it as uncharacterized. The record is from RefSeq and is a predicted model, not a curated record. NCBI's taxonomy places the organism in Eukaryota, Metazoa, Chordata, Mammalia, Pholidota, Manidae.
GCGUUAUAAUGUAAAUUCCUUUUCUCCUUUCCAGCUUCCUAUGCAGGUGAGAAAAUUUUUGUUGAAUCUGGAACUGCUAACUCCUUGCUGAGUCAGAAAUGCAUGAUGUUCCAGCAUCCAAGUGAAUUCUAGUGGGCCAGAGGAAGAGAAGAGGGGAGGAAUCAAGACAUCUUUAUCUUGACACUACCUUAUCAAAUGCAUUCAGAGACCUCUGGCCCCUCACAGAUCCUGCCUGCCCAGCUGAGAGCCCUUCGGGAUUCCUCUGGGGAGUGGUCACCAGCAUAGAGUCAUUUCUCCAGGCUCUCCCUGGAAAAGCCAAUCUCCAUUCUUCUAGGAUCGAUGCUGUGCAGACUGCAUAAAUCAGUUACUUAGCAAUGUGCUAAAUUUCCAAAUACUUGGAGAUUUUCUGGAUAUUGUAUUGGCGUUGGUUUCUAAUUUAAUUCCAUGGCCAUCAGAGAGCAUAUUCUCAGAAGCUUACUUAUCUCUCUUGGUGAGUAUUUCAUGUGCCACUAAAAGAAUGUCUGUUUU